RNAcentral lists this ribosomal RNA (253 nucleotides) under uncultured bacterium. RNAcentral describes it as "partial 16S ribosomal RNA". It matches the Rfam family "Bacterial small subunit ribosomal RNA", at positions 524 to 776 of the family's 1533-position model. The record is from RNAcentral. RNAcentral also lists the same sequence under 2 other names.
UACAGAGGGGGCAAGCGUUGUUCGGAAUUACUGGGCGUAAAGGGCGCGUAGGCGGCCCGCUAAGUCGAACGUGAAAUCCCCAGGCUCAACCUGGGAACUGCGUCCGAUACUGGCAGGCUUGAAUCCGGGAGAGGGAUGUGGAAUUCCAGGUGUAGCGGUGAAAUGCGUAGAUAUCUGGAGGAACACCGGUGGCGAAGGCGGCAUCCUGGACCGGUAUUGACGCUGAGGCGCGAAAGCUAGGGGAGCAAACGGG